AGAGUUUGAUCCUGGCUCAGGAUGAACGCUAGCGGCAGGCUUAACACAUGCAAGUCGAGGGGCAGCGGGAUGUAGCAAUACAUUGCCGGCGACCGGCGGAUGGGUGCGUAACGCGUAUGCAACCUACCUUAUACAGGGGAAUAACCUUUCGAAAGGGAGACUAACACCCCAUAGUAUUGAUUUAAGGCAUCUUAGAUUAAUUAAAUAUUUAUAGGUAUAAGAUGGGCAUGCGUAUGAUUAGCUAGUUGGUAAGGUAACGGCUUACCAAGGCGACGAUCAUUAGGGGUUCUGAGAGGAAGGUCCCCCACACUGGUACUGAGACACGGACCAGACUCCUACGGGAGGCAGCAGUGAGGAAUAUUGGUCAAUGGGCGCAAGCCUGAACCAGCCAUGCCGCGUGCAAGGAAGACGGCCUUAUGGGUUGUAAACUGCUUUUACAUAAGACUAACCGUAUAUUUGCGAAUAUACCUGAAUGUAUUAUGAGAAUAAGGAUCGGCUAACUCCGUGCCAGCCGCCGC
This 518-nucleotide ribosomal RNA is filed under the name uncultured bacterium. Its description in RNAcentral is "bacterial SSU rRNA". It matches the Rfam family "Bacterial small subunit ribosomal RNA", at positions 8 to 518 of the family's 1533-position model. The record is from RNAcentral.